AAACUCUGGUGCUCUAUGUCUACUUGGAACCACAUCAAUCCAUCCCGAACUUGAUGGUGAAAGGAGUAGAAAGUUGUUAUACUAGUCGGAAGUCUGGCUGGAAACAGCAACUUAGUGCCAGGGUG
RNAcentral lists this ribosomal RNA (125 nucleotides) under Pseudomuriella schumacherensis. Lineage: Eukaryota; Viridiplantae; Chlorophyta; Chlorophyceae; Sphaeropleales; Pseudomuriellaceae. The record is from RNAcentral.